AGGAGAUCUGUGAAGACCCAAAGUUCAUCGUGGGGGGUGCAGACAGGACGGACAUCUGCCAAGGACAGCUGGGUGACUGCUGGCUCCUGGCAGCCAUCGCGUCCUUGACCCUCAAAAAAGAUGCCAUGGCCCGAGUCGUGCCCCCCAACCAGGACUUUGACAACAGAUACGCCGGCAUCUUUCACUUCCAGUUCUGGAAUCACAACCAAUGGCUGGACGUGGUGGUGGACGACCGGCUGCCGGCAGUCAGG
Molecule: long non-coding RNA, 251 nt
Organism: Notothenia coriiceps (black rockcod)
Lineage: Eukaryota; Metazoa; Chordata; Actinopteri; Perciformes; Nototheniidae
Exons: 3
Source: RefSeq, a predicted model, not a curated record